This 245-nucleotide ribosomal RNA is filed under the name uncultured Acetatifactor sp. RNAcentral describes it as "partial 16S ribosomal RNA". It matches the Rfam family "Bacterial small subunit ribosomal RNA", at positions 524 to 768 of the family's 1533-position model. The record is from RNAcentral. Lineage: Bacteria; Bacillati; Bacillota; Clostridia; Lachnospirales; Lachnospiraceae.
UACGUAGGGGGCAAGCGUUAUCCGGAUUUACUGGGUGUAAAGGGAGCGUAGACGGCGCAUCAAGUCUGAUGUGAAAGGCUGGGGCCCAACCCCGGGACUGCAUUGGAAACUGGUGUGCUCGAGUGCCGGAGGGGCAGGCGGAAUUCCUGGUGUAGCGGUGAAAUGCGUAGAUAUCAGGAGGAACACCGGUGGCGAAGGCGGCCUGCUGGACGUGCACUGACGUUAAGGCUCGAAAGCGUGGGGAG